This 277-nucleotide ribosomal RNA is filed under the name Pratylenchus penetrans. Its description in RNAcentral is "partial large subunit ribosomal RNA". It matches the Rfam family "Eukaryotic large subunit ribosomal RNA", at positions 655 to 906 of the family's 3401-position model. The record is from RNAcentral. Lineage: Eukaryota; Metazoa; Nematoda; Chromadorea; Rhabditida; Pratylenchidae.
UGAAACACGGACCAAGGAGUUUAUCGUGUGCGCAAGUCAUUGGGUGUUGAAAACUCAAAGGCGCAAUGAAAGUAAAGAAUCCGCAAGGAUACGACGUGUGAUCUGAGCAAUCACGAUUGCCUGGAGCAACAUGGCCCCAUUCUGGUCGCUUGCGACGGGGUGGAGGAAGAGCGUACGCGGUGAGACCCGAAAGAUGGUGAACUAUUCCUGAGCAGGAUGAAGCCAGAGGAAACUCUGGUGGAAGUCCGAAGCGAUUCUGACGUGCAAAUCGAUCGUC